AUACGGAGGGGGCUAGCGUUGUUCGGGAUUACUGGGCGUAAAGCGUACGCAGGCGGAUAUUUAAGUUAGAGGUGAAAUCCCAGGGCUCAACCCUGGAACUGCCUUUAAAACUGGGUAUCUAGAGUUAUGGAGAGGUAAGUGGAAUUCCUAGUGUAGAGGUGAAAUUCGUAGAUAUUAGGAGGAACACCAGAGGCGAAGGCGGCUUACUGGACAAAUACUGACGCUGAGGUACGAAAGUGUGGGGAGCGAACGGGAUUAGAAACCCUAGUAGUCC
RNAcentral lists this ribosomal RNA (274 nucleotides) under uncultured bacterium. RNAcentral describes it as "partial 16S ribosomal RNA". It matches the Rfam family "Bacterial small subunit ribosomal RNA", at positions 523 to 796 of the family's 1533-position model. The record is from RNAcentral.